AGCAGCCGCGGUAAUUCCAGCUCCAAUAGCGUAUAUUAAAGUUGUUGCAGUUAAAAAGCUCGUAGUUGAAUUUCGGGAUUAGUACGUUGGUCGUGCCUUAGGUACGUACUGGUGUUACUGGUUCCUACCUUCUGACGAACCAUCAUGUCAUUAAUUUGGUGUGGCGGGGAAUCAGGACUGUUACUUUGAAAAAAUUAGAGUGUUUAAAGCAGGCUCGCGCUUGAAUACAUUAGCAUGGAAUAAUGAAAUAGGACGUUGACCCUAUUUUGUUGGUUUUUAGGAUUGACGUAAUGAUUAAUAGGGAUAGUUGGGGGCAUCAGUAUUCAAUUGUCAGAGGUGAAAUUCUUGGAUUUAUUGAAGACUAACUACUGCGAAAGCAUUUGCCAAGGAUGUUUUCAUUAAUCAAGAACGAAAGUUAGGGGAUCGAAGACGAUCAGAUACCGUCGUAGUCUUAACCAUAAACUAUGCCGACUAGGGAUCGGAUGAUGUUAAUUUUUUAAUGACUCAUUCGGCGCCUUACG
This 521-nucleotide ribosomal RNA is filed under the name uncultured Glomus. Its description in RNAcentral is "SSU rRNA". It matches the Rfam family "Eukaryotic small subunit ribosomal RNA", at positions 569 to 1092 of the family's 1831-position model. The record is from RNAcentral. Lineage: Eukaryota; Fungi; Glomeromycota; Glomeromycetes; Glomerales; Glomeraceae.